CGUCUAUAUACGUAUAGCAUAUCAAUAAGCGGAGGAAAAGAAACUAACUAGGAUUCCCUCAGUAACGGCGAGUGAAGCGGGAAGAGCUCAAAUUUGAAAUCUUCAAGGUUCUACCUUGACGAAUUGUAGUUUAAAGAAGUGUUUUCUGUUGGAGUUUUUUGGUAAAAGUUCUUUGGAAUAGGACAUCAUAGAGGGUGAGAAUCCCGUAUUUGACCAUUACUUUCCAACUUUGUGAUACACUUUCAAAGAGUCGGAUUGUUUGGGAAUGCAGUCCAAAAUGGGUGGUAAAUUUCAUCUAAAGCUAAAUACUGGCGAGAGACCGAUAGCGAACAAGUACCGUGAGGGAAAGAUGAAAAGAACUUUGAAAAGAGAGUUAAACAGUACGUGAAAUUGUCAAAAGGGAAGCGUUUGACACCAGUGUUGUUUUCUCGAAAAUCAAUUAAAAAUGGCGGGAUUUUGUGUUGUAUUGACUUUAUCAGCUUUCUGCACUUUUUUCUUGUCUUUUUUAAUGCACUUUUCGUUUAACAAGUCAACAUCAAUUUCUUUUGUUGUAAAAGGGUCAUUGGAAGGUGGCUUUCACUUUCGGUGAAAGUGUUUAUAGCCUUUGACUUCUGCAAUCGGAGAGAUUGAGGUCUGCAGCGUAGAUCCUUCGGGGUUAGAUACAUUUGUGCUAAGUUAUAGCCUUUUCAUAGACAACAUUGUUGACUAUGAUCAGUCAUGUAGCUUACUCGCUUAUGCUAUUUUACCUACGCUUAGGAUGUUGAUCUGUAGUGCGUGCGC
This 780-nucleotide ribosomal RNA is filed under the name uncultured Neocallimastigales. Its description in RNAcentral is "partial large subunit ribosomal RNA". It matches the Rfam family "Eukaryotic large subunit ribosomal RNA", at positions 26 to 632 of the family's 3401-position model. Lineage: Eukaryota; Fungi; Neocallimastigomycota; Neocallimastigomycetes; Neocallimastigales. The record is from RNAcentral.